This 911-nucleotide ribosomal RNA is filed under the name uncultured Porphyromonas sp. RNAcentral's name for it is "bacterial SSU rRNA". It matches the Rfam family "Bacterial small subunit ribosomal RNA", at positions 65 to 968 of the family's 1533-position model. The record is from RNAcentral. Lineage: Bacteria; Pseudomonadati; Bacteroidota; Bacteroidia; Bacteroidales; Porphyromonadaceae.
AGGGGCAGCAUGGUCUUAGCUUGCUAAGACUGAUGGCGACCGGCGCACGGGUGCGUAACGCGUAUGCAACUUGCCUCACAGAGGGGGAUAACCCGUCGAAAGACGGACUAAUACCGCGUACACUUACGGUAGGGCAUCCUAUUGUAAGGAAAUGAAUUUCGCUGUGAGAUAGGCAUGCGUCCCAUUAGCUAGUUGGUGAGGUAACGGCUCACCAAGGCGACGAUGGGUAGGGGAACUGAGAGGUUGAACCCCCACACUGGUACUGAGACACGGACCAGACUCCUACGGGAGGCAGCAGUGAGGAAUAUUGGUCAAUGGGCGAGAGCCUGAACCAGCCAAGUCGCGUGAAGGAUGACUGUCUUAUGGAUUGUAAACUUCUUUUAUACGGGAAUAAUAAGAGUCACGAGUGACUCCCUGCAUGUACCGUAUGAAUAAGCAUCGGCUAACUCCGUGCCAGCAGCCGCGGUAAUACGAAGGAUGCGAGCGUUAUCCGGAUUUAUUGGGUUUAAAGGGUGCGUAGGCGGCCUGUUAAGUCAGCGGUGAAAUCUAGGAGCUUAACUCCUAAAUUGCCAUUGAAACUGGCGGGCUUGAGUGUAGAUGAGGUAGGCGGAAUGCGUGGUGUAGCGGUGGAAUGCAUAGAUAUCACGCAGAACUCCGAUUGCGAAGGCAGCUUACUAAGGUACAACUGACGCUGAAGCACGAAAGCGUGGGUAUCAAACAGGAUUAGAUACCCUGGUAGUCCACGCAGUAAACGAUGAUAACUGGGCGUAUGCGAUAUACAGUAUGCUCCUAAGCGAAAGCGUUAAGUUAUCCACCUGGGGAGUACGCCGGCAACGGUGAAACUCAAAGGAAUUGACGGGGGCCCGCACAAGCGGAGGAACAUGUGGUUUAAUUCGAUGAUACGCGAGGAA